Long non-coding RNA from Empidonax traillii (willow flycatcher), 1503 nucleotides. RefSeq lists it as uncharacterized. The record is from RefSeq and is a predicted model, not a curated record. The transcript is spliced from 2 exons. NCBI's taxonomy places the organism in Eukaryota, Metazoa, Chordata, Aves, Passeriformes, Tyrannidae.
CCCCUGAGGUUCUCCUCACUGCUAAAUGGGAAUGUUUGUGUGAUCACCAAAUGAGAUAAACAGCAAGGUAAAGUUCCAUAUCCUGCUUUGAUCCUUCAAAUUCCUGCCCCUGCUGCCGUCCAUCCGGGCAGCAGUACAAGCUGUUUCCAUCAGUGUCCCUGGAAGAACUCUGGUGCCAGCUGGGAAACUGCUCAGGGGGGUGGAAGCCCUCCAAGAGCAGAAUGUGCAGCAGGAACUUCACAAGGUGUCAGUUCUGCAAGGCAAAGAGGAAUUUGGGCUGGGAGGGAAAUGCAUAUUCCAGCAGGAUGUGUUAUCUUCCCUUCUGGGCCUGCAAAGUGAAAUCCUGGGGAAGAGCUGCCAGCCUUCACCUCUGAUGGAUGGUUUGACCUCCAUCCACAGCUGCGGGUCCACCCCUCAUCCAACACUUUUGGAGAGCUGCAAUUUCUCCUGUCAAAUAAUAAUGCCCCAUGUGGAAAGGAUAUUGGGAGUCACUGGAAUAACUCACUGAAGCCAACCUGCACUUUGUAAAGCGCUUCAGGAUGCUCUGAGAUGAAACACCCUGCACAGCUAUUGGGAAGAAUUAGCUAAUGCUGGCUAAUGGCUGAGAUAGCAUCUGCAAAGGGCAAGAAAUAAAAACAACCUGAGCUGGAAACUCCAUUAUAUUCUCCUUUAUUUCUUAAACGUCAGGAGAGUUACACAGCCAUGACAAACGGUAAAAGUUAAAGCAACAAUAAUAAUGAAAAUUGGUUCAGUUACAACAAAUUAAAAAAAAAAAGAAAACAAGCUUUAUGGACUAAGCCCUUCUCUCAGACUGGAGAGGAAGCAGAGUGUGCACAGAGCUGAAAAGGGUCUAGUUCUAGUCUCAGUUUUAACCCCUUUUAAGGUCACUGCCAAACACCCCCUUUCCUUGUCCCACACCAAGGGCUCACAGUCCACACAUUAUCCUAAAAGAGACUUUGAUUUCUCUGCCCUCACUGAGGAUGAACUGCUGUAAAAAUUAGGGAUUAUCACUAUUUUAACUCACUGAACAUAAAAUGGAUCUCUCAGGGAGGCUGUGAGGAGGCAAAGCCUGCAAAGUGACAGGCAAAGAAGUCUGUCAAGGUGCAGCAUUUAAUUGGUACAGGGAGAACAUCAUUUUGAAUAACUCAGGCAAAGCACAUUUACCAAAGUGCUACACACUUUACAAAAAAAGUGUUUCUCCACAAGAGGCAAGUUAUAGCACCAGAUUAGGGAAAGAAAGAUGAGAGAGAGAGAGAGAAAACCAACCUGUCUGGCACUGCAGUGAGUCUGUGGCAGAGUGGGGACAGAGAGCAGUGGUCCUGCAAAUCGAACCCUUUAAUUUUCACAUGCAAGAUCAGCUACCUGACUUUCCCCACCGAUGCCAGAGACUGAGAGAAUGCAGAGUGCACCUGAGAGACCCAGGUGGCUUCUCACCACUGUUUGAGGGCAAACAGCCCCUGGUAAUCCCUCUGCAUUAAGAAAUUAAACAGGCAGAACUCUUCA